Bufo bufo (common toad) is the source of this 798-nucleotide non-coding RNA. Lineage: Eukaryota; Metazoa; Chordata; Amphibia; Anura; Bufonidae. The record is from the annotation of a RefSeq genome assembly.
UUUCAGAAGAUGAUCACUACUGCAAAUGGUCUCGUUUUUGGAACUGGAACAAGACUUGAUGUCCUGCCAAAUGAGAAACCUACCACAGCUCCUCAAGUCUUUGAGUUGAAAACUAAAGGGGAAACCUCCUCCACUGCCUGUCUGGCAAAAGAUUUCUUCCCUAAGGAUAUUGAAAUUUAUGUUAAUAACACUAAACAAGAAAGUAUUACCACCAUCUUGUCUAAGAAGGGAUUGUACAGCGCGGUCAGUGUUCAGAAUGUGAAGUCAGAUGUCUUUGGAUGUGAAGUCAAGCAGCCUGAAAAUUUAGUGCAAAACACAACUGAAGAGGCAAAAGUUGAAACUACUUAUAAUCCACCUGAAGAGGAGAAAGGAAAAACAUGUGAAAGAACAGAUAACUCUUCUCACAACACUGAACAAAUCAAUAUGCUCUCCUUAACUGUAUGUGGGAUGAGGGCAUUAUUUGCUAAAACUCUGACCUUCAACCUGAUCUUGAGCGCAAAGAUCUUCAUAAUGUAAGACUACAGUGUAAAGCCAAGGAAAUUUCAGCUUUAUCAACUUUUACAUAUUCAUCGCAACGACCAGAUCAGCAGCUUCCUCUUUACUCUUCUUGUAAACUGUUAAAUAGAGAUCACAUCUAGGAAGGUAUUAAAAUGUCUGUUCAUAAAACAUUGUUGCUUUCUACUAAAAACAGUACCCUACGUGUCCAUAGGUUGUGUGUGGUAGUGGACAUCAGCUCCAUUUACUUUAAAGGAUGCAAUCUUCAAGACCCUUGGACAGGAGUGGUGCUUAUUAUGGAAA